Tachyglossus aculeatus (Australian echidna) is the source of this 138-nucleotide small nucleolar RNA. The record is from RefSeq and is a predicted model, not a curated record. Lineage: Eukaryota; Metazoa; Chordata; Mammalia; Monotremata; Tachyglossidae.
CCCCUCUCAGGGUCGCAACUGGAGAGUUUCUGGUACCUUAUCAGUCUUGACUAUGGGAGGGAGAGUCAAGCAGAGGCAGAGCCAUUCCAUUCCUAGCUUGGUCAGUGGCUAAUGAGUGGAAGGCAAUCUGCUACAACU